AACGAACGCUGGCGGCGUGCUUAACACAUGCAAGUCGAACGUGAAGGGGGCUUCGGUCCCUGGAAAGUGGCGCACGGGUGAGUAACACGUGGAUAAUCUACCCGAUGAUCCGGGAUAACCUUUCGAAAGGGGGGCUAAUACCGAAUAAGCUCACGAACUCCUCGGGGUUUGCGGGAAAAGGUGGGGACCUUCGGGCCUACCGUCAUCGGAUGAGUCCGCGGCCCAUUAGCUAGUUGGUGGGGUAAUGGCCUACCAAGGCAACGAUGGGUAGCUGGUCUGAGAGGAUGAUCAGCCACACUGGAACUGAGACACGGUCCAGACUCCUACGGGAGGCUG
Molecule: ribosomal RNA, 336 nt
Filed under: uncultured Pseudomonadota bacterium
Lineage: Bacteria; Pseudomonadati; Pseudomonadota
Description: bacterial SSU rRNA
Rfam family: Bacterial small subunit ribosomal RNA
Source: RNAcentral